Molecule: ribosomal RNA, 153 nt
Filed under: uncultured bacterium
Lineage: Bacteria
Description: partial 16S ribosomal RNA
Rfam family: Bacterial small subunit ribosomal RNA
Source: RNAcentral
GGGGCGGGGGCACGGGGGGCCUACGGGAGGCAGCAGUGGGGAAUAUUGCACAAUGGGCGCAAGCCUGAUGCAGCGACGCCGCGUGAGGGAUGACGGCCUUCGGGUUGUAAACCUCUUUCAAUAGGGACGAAGCGCAAGUGACGGUACCGUACC